Molecule: ribosomal RNA, 305 nt
Filed under: uncultured bacterium
Lineage: Bacteria
Description: bacterial SSU rRNA
Rfam family: Bacterial small subunit ribosomal RNA
Source: RNAcentral
UACCUACGGGGCGCAGCAGUGGGGAAUAUUGCACAAUGGGGGGAACCCUGAUGCAGCGACGCCGCGUGAGUGAAGAAGUAUUUCGGUAUGUAAAGCUCUAUCAGCAGGGAAGAAAAUGACGGUACCUGACUAAGAAGCCCCGGCUAACUACGUGCCAGCAGCCGCGGUAAUACGUAGGGGGCAAGCGUUAUCCGGAUUUACUGGGUGUAAAGGGAGCGUAGACGGCAGAGCAAGUCUGAAGUGAAAUCCCUCGGCUCAACUGAGGAACUGCAACCAAAACUAUUCUCCUUGAGUGUCGUAGAGGA